GCAGUUUGCAGCAAGCUCUCGAAUCCGCCUGGUGAUUGGGGUGACCGCGAACCUGGCCUGAGACCCCGGAUACUUGAGUUUUCGGGGGUCUAACAUUUUGGGGGCUCGUCCGGGAUUUGCGACCACCCUUCACCUGAGUGGAUUCGAUCUUGGAGGGGUCUUUUCUUCUCUGAGCACAUGGCGCCACCUCAACUGUUAUCGGCAGAUGCGCCGGAGGACAGACUGCCACUCUGAGGACACCCAGGACCCAAGAGUUUAUAAUGUCAGACAGACCGCCAGAUCCGGACAGUGACCCAAAGUCUCCAAAGAAGAUUACGAGGCACCUCAGUUCCUGCACCUGGACCAGUGAGCGAGAUGCUCAGAUGUGAAACCUGCCGCCUGCCAGAACCUGGCC
RNAcentral lists this long non-coding RNA (394 nucleotides) under Cricetulus griseus (Chinese hamster). RNAcentral's name for it is "lncRNA (ENSCGRG00015043112.1)". Lineage: Eukaryota; Metazoa; Chordata; Mammalia; Rodentia; Cricetidae. The record is from RNAcentral.